RNAcentral lists this RNase P RNA (345 nucleotides) under uncultured Spiribacter sp. RNAcentral's name for it is "Bacterial RNase P class A". It matches the Rfam family "Bacterial RNase P class A". From Rfam's summary of the family: Ribonuclease P (RNase P) is a ubiquitous endoribonuclease, found in archaea, bacteria and eukarya as well as chloroplasts and mitochondria. Its best characterised activity is the generation of mature 5'-ends of tRNAs by cleaving the 5'-leader elements of precursor-tRNAs. Lineage: Bacteria; Pseudomonadati; Pseudomonadota; Gammaproteobacteria; Chromatiales; Ectothiorhodospiraceae. The record is from RNAcentral.
GAGUUGGCUGGACAGUCGCUGCACGAUGUGUGGAGGAAAGUCCGGGCUCCAUAGGGCAGGGUGCCAGGUAACGCCUGGGCGGCGUGAGCCGACGGAAAGUGCCGCAGAAAAGAUACCGCCGAUGGCCGUCAGCCGAUGGCUCAGGCAAGGGUGAAAUGGUGCGGUAAGAGCGCACCGCGUGGCUGGCAACAGGCACGGCAGGGUAAACCCCACCCGGAGCAAGACCAAAUAGGGGGGCAGACGCGUGGCCCGCGCGGCUCCCGGGUAGGUCGCUCGAGGUGCAUGGCGACAUGUACCCCAGAUGAAUGACUGUCUCUGACAGAACCCGGCUUACAGGCCGGCUCC